RNAcentral lists this ribosomal RNA (510 nucleotides) under uncultured bacterium. RNAcentral's name for it is "partial 16S ribosomal RNA". It matches the Rfam family "Bacterial small subunit ribosomal RNA", at positions 28 to 507 of the family's 1533-position model. The record is from RNAcentral.
GACGAACGCUGGCGGCGCGCUUAACACAUGCAAGUCGAACGAAGAGCGAUGGAAGCUUGCUUCUAUCAAUCUUAGUGGCGAACGGGUGAGUAACGCGUAAUCAACCUGCCCUUCAGAGGGGGACAACAGUUGGAAACGACUGCUAAUACCGCAUACGAUCUGACCUCGGCAUCGAGGAUAGAUGAAAGGUGGCCUCUAUUUAUAAGCUAUCACUGAAGGAGGGGAUUGCGUCUGAUUAGCUAGUUGGAGGGGUAACGGCCCACCAAGGCGAUGAUCAGUAGCCGGUCUGAGAGGAUGAACGGCCACAUUGGGACUGAGACACGGCCCAGACUCCUACGGGAGGCAGCAGUGGGGAAUCUUCCGCAAUGGACGAAAGUCUGACGGAGCAACGCCGCGUGAGUGAUGACGGCCUUCGGGUUGUAAAGCUCUGUUAAUCGGGACGAAAGGCCUUCUUGCGAAUAGUUAGAAGGAUUGACGGUACCGGAAUAGAAAGCCACGGCUAACUACGUG